This 365-nucleotide ribosomal RNA is filed under the name uncultured eukaryote. Its description in RNAcentral is "partial 18S ribosomal RNA". It matches the Rfam family "Eukaryotic small subunit ribosomal RNA", at positions 592 to 976 of the family's 1831-position model. The record is from RNAcentral.
CAAUAGCGUAUAUUUAAGUUGUUGCAGUUAAAAAGCUCGUAGUCGGAUUUUGGCUGAGAACGAACGGUCCGCCGUUAGGUGUGCACUGUUUGGUCUCAGCUUCCUGGUGAGGAGGUGUGCUUCACGGCCACUUAGUCACCGUGGUUACUUUGAAAAAAUUAGAGUGUUCAAAGCGGGCUUACGCUUGAAUAUAUUAGCAUGGAAUAACACCAUAGGACUCCUGUCCUAUUUCGUUGGUCUCGGGACGGGAGCAAUGAUUAAGAGGAACAGUUGGGGGCAUUCGUAUUUCAUUGUCAGAGGUGAAAUUCUUGGAUUUAUGAAAGACGAACUUCUGCGAAAGCAUUUGCCAAGGAUGUUUUCAUUGA